GUGCAGCAGAUAUCCGAGAUCUCUGGGAAAGUUAAGUUUACUUAACAUUCCUUAUUUGAUGGAAAUCGACGGUGUGAAUUUUGGUUCCCACAGUUGAUGACUUUGAAUAUGUUGGUUUUAAGAAAAUUGCUAGGAACUUGUCGGUUUUAAGACGACGUUCGUGUCUCUAGCUAUUUCUUUCUUUAGGAAGUUAGCUGAGUAUGUGUGGCGAUCGUUUCUCAGUUUUUCGAGAGUUUAGAUCGGUUUGCAGGAUUUUCCUAAACAGUUAAGGAACAUUAGAUUGAGAUGGGGGACAUUACCUAAGAUUGAGCGGUUUCGUAAAAUGUUUUAGAGUUAAUUUUACAAAAGUCAUUCUGUAAACAUGUUUUUG
Molecule: long non-coding RNA, 370 nt
Filed under: Brassica napus (rape)
Lineage: Eukaryota; Viridiplantae; Streptophyta; Magnoliopsida; Brassicales; Brassicaceae
Description: long non-coding RNA (BNAP_LNC024994)
Source: RNAcentral